AGAGAUAACGAACCAGCUGUCGGA
This 24-nucleotide small nuclear RNA is filed under the name Arabidopsis thaliana (thale cress). Its description in RNAcentral is "snRNA_00964". The record is from RNAcentral. Lineage: Eukaryota; Viridiplantae; Streptophyta; Magnoliopsida; Brassicales; Brassicaceae.